UGAGGGGACUUAACUUCGUCGUAGCUACUGGAAAGGUGAGAAUACAUCAAUCUUACAAUGACUUCAUGAUCACUAUACUAAUUUUUGGACCAUUCAAUUAUGUCUUUUAUUAUGUUCUGUUAGUUGUUCUUCUUUGAAAUGUUUUGGAGAUGGGAUAUGAUCAAAAAUCUUGAAUACGACUGAUCUAACUGGAUGCGGUGGCAUUAUCUCAAAGUCCUCUCCAUGCCUUUUCGUUCAGAGUGGAAAGAAGUGUAUAAAGGAAACUUGGACCCAGAUGUCUCCAGAGAGGUAAAUCCACAUAAGAUCUCACACCCCCGGCCAAGUUCACAACAU
Molecule: long non-coding RNA, 333 nt
Organism: Arabidopsis thaliana (thale cress)
Lineage: Eukaryota; Viridiplantae; Streptophyta; Magnoliopsida; Brassicales; Brassicaceae
Product: other RNA
Exons: 2
Source: RefSeq